This 490-nucleotide ribosomal RNA is filed under the name uncultured bacterium. RNAcentral's name for it is "partial 16S ribosomal RNA". It matches the Rfam family "Bacterial small subunit ribosomal RNA", at positions 30 to 507 of the family's 1533-position model. The record is from RNAcentral.
AUUGAACGCUGGCGGCAGGCCUAACACAUGCAAGUCGAACGGUAACAGGAAGAAGCUUGCUUCUUUGCUGACGAGUGGCGGACGGGUGAGUAAUGUCUGGGACACUGCCUGAUGGAGGGGGAUAACUACUGGAAACGGUAGCUAAUACCGCAUAACGUCGCAAGACCAAAAAGGGGGACCUUCGGGCCUCUUGCCAUCGGAUGUGCCCAGAUGGGAUUAGCUAGUAGGUGGGGUAACGGCUCACCUAGGCGACGAUCCCUAGCUGGUCUGAGAGGAUGACCAGCCACACUGGAACUGAGACACGGUCCAGACUCCUACGGGAGGCAGCAGUGGGGAAUAUUGCACAAUGGGCGCAAGCCUGAUGCAGCCAUGCCGCGUGUAUGAAGAAGGCCUUCGGGUUGUAAAGUACUUUCAGCGGGGAGGAAGGGAGUAAAGUUAAUACCUUUGCUCAUUGACGUUACCCGCAGAAGAAGCACCGGCUAACUCCGUG